ACAUCGGUAGCACAGUGGUUAGUGCAGUCUGCCAGAAACAGAAUGACGCGGGUUCAAUUUCCGUCCGAUGUC
This is a non-coding RNA of Nippostrongylus brasiliensis, 72 nucleotides long. The record is from Rfam. Lineage: Eukaryota; Metazoa; Nematoda; Chromadorea; Rhabditida; Heligmosomidae.